UUGAACGCUGGCGGCAUGCCUUACACAUGCAAGUCGAACGGUAACAGGGAGCUUGCUCCGCUGACGAGUGGCGAACGGGUGAGUAAUGUAUCGGAACGUACCAUUGAGUGGGGGAUAACGUAGCGAAAGUUACGCUAAUACCGCAUAUUCUCUCCGGAGGAAAGCAGGGGACCGCAAGGCCUUGCGCUCUUUGAGCGGCCGAUAUCAGAUUAGCUAGUUGGUGGGGUAAAAGCUCACCAAGGCGACGAUCUGUAGCGGGUCUGAGAGGAUGAUCCGCCACACUGGAACUGAGACACGGUCCAGACUCCUACGGGAGGCAGCAGUGGGGAAUUUUGGACGAUGGGGGCAAGCCUGAUCCAGCAAUGCCGCGUGCAGGAAGAAGGCCUUCGGGUUGUAAACUGCUUUUGUACGGAGCGAAAAGGCUCUCUCUAAUACAGGGGGCUCAUGACGGUACCGUAAGAAUAAGCACCGGCUAACUACGU
This 482-nucleotide ribosomal RNA is filed under the name uncultured bacterium. RNAcentral's name for it is "bacterial SSU rRNA". It matches the Rfam family "Bacterial small subunit ribosomal RNA", at positions 30 to 506 of the family's 1533-position model. The record is from RNAcentral.